RNAcentral lists this ribosomal RNA (499 nucleotides) under uncultured bacterium. RNAcentral's name for it is "partial 16S ribosomal RNA". It matches the Rfam family "Bacterial small subunit ribosomal RNA", at positions 28 to 507 of the family's 1533-position model. The record is from RNAcentral.
GACGAACGCUGGCGGCGUGCCUAAUACAUGCAAGUCGAGCGAAGUUUUUCUGGUGCUUGCACUAGAAAAACUUAGCGGCGAACGGGUGAGUAACACGUAAAGAACCUGCCUCAUAGACUGGGACAACUAUUGGAAACGAUAGCUAAUACCGGAUAACAGUAUUUCUCGCAUGAGAGAUAUUUAAAAGUUGGUUAUGCUAACACUAUGAGAUGGCUUUGCGGUGCAUUAGCUAGUUGGUGGGGUAAAGGCCCACCAAGGCGACGAUGCAUAGCCGACCUGAGAGGGUGAUCGGCCACACUGGGACUGAGACACGGCCCAGACUCCUACGGGAGGCAGCAGUAGGGAAUCUCCCGCAAAGGGCGAAAGCCUGACGGAGCAACGCCGCGUGAGUGAAGAAGGAUUUCGGUUCGUAAAGCUCUGUUGUUAGGGAAGAAUGGAUAUGUAGUAACUAUACAUGUAAGAGACGGUACCUAACCAGAAAGCCACGGCUAACUACGUG